RNAcentral lists this ribosomal RNA (497 nucleotides) under uncultured bacterium. Its description in RNAcentral is "partial 16S ribosomal RNA". It matches the Rfam family "Bacterial small subunit ribosomal RNA", at positions 28 to 507 of the family's 1533-position model. The record is from RNAcentral.
GAUGAACGCUGGCGGCGUGCCUAAUACAUGCAAGUCGAGCGAACAGACGAGGAGCUUGCUCCUCUGACGUUAGCGGCGGACGGGUGAGUAACAUGUGGAUAAUCUCCCUAUAAGACUGGGAUAACUUCGGGAAACCGGAUCUAAUACCGGAUAAUAUAUUGCACCGCAUGGUUCAAUAGUAAAAGACGGUUUUUCUGGAUCUUAUAGAUGGUUCCGCGCCGUAUUAGCUAGUUGUUAGGGUAACGGCUUAUCGGGGCGACGAUGCGUAGCCGACCGGUGAGGGGGAUCGGCGACCCGAGAACGGAACCACGGUCAAGACUCCUACGGGAGGCAGCAGUAGGGAAUGUGCCGCAAUGGGCGAAAGUCUGACGGAGCAACGGCGCGUGAGAGAUGAAGGCCUUCGGAUCGUAAAACUCUGUUAUUAGGGAAGAACAAAUGUGUAAGUAACUAUGCACGUAUUGACGGUACCUAAUCAGAAAGCAACGGCUAACUACGUG